Molecule: ribosomal RNA, 394 nt
Filed under: uncultured bacterium
Lineage: Bacteria
Description: partial 16S ribosomal RNA
Rfam family: Bacterial small subunit ribosomal RNA
Source: RNAcentral
AUACGGAGGAUGCAAGCGUUAUCCGGAUUUAUUGGGUUUAAAGGGUGCGUAGGCGGACAGUCAAGCAGGGGGUGAAAUGCCGGCGCUCAACGCCGGAGCUGCCUUCUGAACUGGCUGUCUGGAGUGGCAGGGCCGUUGGAGGCAUGAGUGGGGUAGCGGGGAAAUGCUUAGAUAUCCCUCAGAACACCGAUUGCGAAGGCAUCUGACGAACUGCCCACUCACGCUGAGGCACGAAAGCGUGGGGAUCAAACAGGAUUAGAUACCCUGGUAGUCCACGCAGUAAACGAUGAUGACUAACUGCCGGCCCGUUGCGGGUCGGUGGCCAAGCGAAAGCGAUAAGUCAUCCACCUGGGGAGUACGACCGCAAGGUUGAAACUUAAAGGAAUUGACGGGG